Capsicum annuum is the source of this 1093-nucleotide long non-coding RNA. RefSeq lists it as uncharacterized. The transcript has 2 exons. The record is from RefSeq and is a predicted model, not a curated record. Lineage: Eukaryota; Viridiplantae; Streptophyta; Magnoliopsida; Solanales; Solanaceae.
UUAUGCUUAUACCCUUGCCAUUAAUAAUUUAGUACGAAUAUACCCCUGACUCUAACGGCUUGCCACGUGUCAAAAUCCUAACGGCUGAACCCUUUUUUUAAAUUUUAUUAUCCUAAAUAAUUAAAUUAUCCUAAAUCAAAUUUCCAGACCCGACCCGAUACCAUGGAAUAAUCAACACACACUUAAUACACCCACAAACACAAAAGGGAAAAAGUAAAAACAAAGAAAAAUGGCGAAGGGAGAAUAGAAGAAAAAAUAGAGGAGGAGAGAUUGAGGGAGAUAGAGAGAAACAAACGGAGAGGAGAGAGGGAGAUUAGAGAGGAAAAAGCAGAGAGAAAACAGUUCUUUCUCCGACAGAAUUUUGCCGAAAAUACCAUCUCCGAUCGAACCCAGCAAAAAAUAGCCAAACCAGUUGUUACACUGACAAAGAUCCUUCUUUUCUUCACCUCCAUUGAUUUUUCAAGUAACAAUUUUGUGGGUAAUAUACCAGAGACAGUUGGAGAUCUCAAAUCACUUUAUCUUCUCAAUAUUUCACACAACAAUCUCAAGGGUCAAAUCCCUCCAACAUUCGGUGAUUUGAAGCAAUUAGGAUCACUGGACCUCUUGUUCAACAAGUUAGGUGGAAAUAUCCCAGAAAAGCUUGCUAGCCUCACAUCUCUUUCCUUCUUAAACUUAUCAUACAAUGAAUUUGUCGGAAUGAUUCCACGAGGUAGCCAACAUCAACAUUUAAAGAAAGUUCUUUCGCAGGAAACAAGGGGUUAUGUGGAUUUUCGCUGAAUAGAACUUGCAAAAAUAAUUCAACAGUGGCACCUUCAGAGCCAGAGGUUGAUUCGAAAAAUUCAUUUCAAGGAUGGAGUUUUGUGAUGGAGUCAUACAAUAUAGAAGGGAUCAAAGAAGAUGUAACGUGGAAGGGAUGAAGAAUUUUUUGAAGUGGGAUCGAAGAACCGGUUGUAUGUAGUUCUCCUGAAAACUAUUGGAAUUGUUUCUCAUUAACUAGUGCACGGAUAGUAUUAAAAAUAUUAAUCAUUUCAAAUUAUGGUAUGAUUGUAUGAGUGCGUUCAAUUAUAUUGCAUUAACUAAAAUUUAAUUGUCA